Long non-coding RNA from Cyclopterus lumpus (lumpfish), 3189 nucleotides. RefSeq lists it as uncharacterized. The record is from RefSeq and is a predicted model, not a curated record. Lineage: Eukaryota; Metazoa; Chordata; Actinopteri; Perciformes; Cyclopteridae. The transcript has 6 exons.
UUCCAGUGGUGUAGACACUUUAAAGUGUCUGUCCGGGUCAAACUCAGCUGAGCUUCUGGGUUCCGGGUCCAGUCGGUCUGAGCAGCCGGGACCAUGAGCUGCUGGCCGGACUUCUCCCGCAGGAACCCGCAGGAAGACUUCCAGCUGAUCCAGCGGUGACGUGUACAAGGCAAGAAGCGAUGGAGAACUGGCUGCCAUCAAAAUCAUCAAAUUAGAACCUGGUGAGGACUUUGCUGUGGUUUAACAGGAGAUCCUGAUGAUGAAGGACUGUAAACACAACAACUCAACAUCGUGGCGUACUAUGGCAGCUACUUCUGCAGGGAGAAGCUGUGGAUCUGUAUGGAGUUCUGUGGAGGAGGAUCCCUGCAGCACAUCUACCACACUUUCAUUUCCUGUACCAUAUGUCCAUCCAUCUUUAAAUCUUUAACACACCCUCAGCUGUCCUGUCGCCAUGACAAUGCCCACGCUGCCCAUCUCCGUGCUCAUUAAGGCCAUGACGGUCGGAGCUGGAGGUGUCGUCGGGGAGCGUUAAUGAGGCCCAGCAGUGAAACACUGGCUGCUCGGUUUCAUUAAAUCUCAACCAAGAUGCUCAAAGUGACCAGAGCUACCACCACCCUGUCCCUCCACUGGUCUGAUGCAACUCUUUGCCCCCUGCAGAGAGAUAAUGAUUUAAACCUCACGCAUACAUCUACACCUUUGAUAGGUUGAUGAUGCACAGGUGGAACAAAUCAGGACAGGGGGGUGGGGGCAACGAUGACAAAUGGACAAGUGAAGCAUCUGAGGAGGACGAUCGGGAGGACGUAGACAGUUCUGGAUCCCUGGAGGACUGAGACAGUUCUGGAUCCCUGGAGGACGUAGACAGUUCUGGAUCCCUGGAGAACGUAGACAGUGCUGGAUCCCUGGAGGACGGAGACAGUUCUGGAUCCCUGGAGAACGUAGACAGUGCUGGAUCCCUGGAGGACUGAGACAGUUCUGGAUCCCUGGAGAACGUAGACAGUGCUGGAUCCCUGGAGGAUGUAGACAGUUCUAGAUCUCUGCAGGACGUAGACAGUCUUGGAUCCCUGAAGGACGGAGACAGUUCUGUAUCCCUGGAGGACGUAGAUAGUUCUGGAUUUCUGGAGGACGUAGACAGUUCUAGAUCCCUGCAGGGCAUAGACAGUGCUGGAUCUCUGGAGGACGUAGACAGUUCUAGAUUCCUGCAGGACGUAGACAGUGCUGGAUCCCUGGAGGACGUAGACAGUGCUGGAUUCCCCUGGAGGACGUAGACAGUUCUAGAUCCCUGCAGGACGUAGACAGUGCUGGAUUCCUGGAGGACGUAGACAGUGCUGGAUUCCCCUGGAGGAUGUAGACAGUUCUGGAUCCCUGCAGGACGUAGACUGUUCUGGAUUCCUGGAGGACGUAGACAGUGCUGGAUCCCUGCAGGAUGUAGACAGUGCUGGAUCCCUGCAGGACGUAGACAGUGCUGGAUCCCUGCAGGACGUAGACAGUCUUGGAUCCCUGAAGGAUGUAGACAGUUCUGGAUCACUGGAGGACGGAAACAGUUCUGGAUCCCUGGAGGAUGUAGACAGUUCUGGAUCACUGGAGGACGGAAACAGUUCUGGAUCGCUGGAGGAUGUAGACAGUUCUGGAUCACUGGAGGACGGAAACAGUUCUGGAUCCCUGGAGGACAUAGACAGUUCGGACGUAGACAGUUCUGGAUUUCUGGAGGACGUAGACAGUGCUGGAUCCCUGAAGGACGUAGACAGUGCUGGAUUCUCUUGGAGAACGUAGAUAGUUCUGGAUCCCUGGAGGACGGCCUCAGAGACUUGAGGCUAGGGAGGGUAGCCGGCAACUGAUGACCCGGCUGGAGUUUGGACCAGUGGAGUGCAUGUUGGGAAUCCUGCAGCCGGAGCACAGACUGGUUGGUAGCAGGCCGAAGCAGAGACUGGUUAGUAGCAGGCCGAAGCAGAGACUGGUUGGUAGCAGGCCGAAGCAGAGACUGGUUAGUAGCAGGCCAAAGCAGAGACUGGUUGGUAGCAGGCCGGAGCAGAGACUGGUUGGUAGCAGGCCACAGCAGAGACUGGUUGGUAGCAGGCCGGAGCAGAGACUGGUUGGUAGCAGGCCAAAGCAGAGACUGGUUGGUAGCAGGCCAAAGCAGAGACUGGUUGGUAGCAGGCCGGAGCAGAGACUGGUUGGUAGCAGGCCAAAGCAGAGACUGGUUGGUAGCAGGUCGGAGCAGAGACUGGUUGGUAGCAGGCCGGAGCAGAGACUGGUUGGUAGCAGGCCGGAGCAGAGACUGGUUGGUAGCAGGCCAAAGCAGAGACUGGUUGGUAGCAGGUCGGAGCACAGACUGGUUGGGACUGCGAAUCAGGAGUGUUAAAAGGACUGUCAGACUCUGCGUCUCGCUAUGGGCCCCUGCUAACACGUAACAUUUGACACAUUGCAUUCUGGGAUUGUUAGCAGACAUGCAGACAUCUGUUGUUUUGUCUUGGCCGAGUCCCAGAUUGCUUCCGUUGUGCGGGAAACACUGCAGGUAACAUCCAAUCAGAUUAUUAGAUCCUCCAAAUUCUGUCCAAUCAGAUUUCUAGACCCUCCAUGUUCUGUCCAAUCAGAUUGUAAUAUAGUGAGUGUGUUCUACAGGGACUCAUCUACCUGCACAGCAAAGGAAAAAUGCACAGAGACAUUAAGGGGGCGAACAUCCUGCUGACUGAUAACGGAUACAUCAAACUAGGUCAGUGUCACUCACCUGUCAUGAACAAACCCCGCCCCCUGAGAGGUAUGGAUGAUUAUGAGGUAGUGAUGAGUCAUGGUUCCAUUGUGUCCUCUAGCACACAAUCAUGUAUUAGUACUCACACUAAAGGACUCUGGAACACCACGCUUUGGUCCAUGACGGCGAGGAGAGAGAUGAGCUCCAGAUCUCCUGAUGUUUGUUGUCUCUGUUCAAUGCAAUCAAAUCAAAUGAGUUGAAUGCAUCAGUAAUAGUAGUAUUUUACUAUUUCUAAUUUACAGCUUAACAUCAGGUUUUAUAGAAUGUUCAAUUUGUUUUUGUUAAAAACAAAAGAUUUUUCCAAGCAGGAUUUUCAUGCUCACGAGCAUAUUUAAUAUGAUAAGUUUUGGUCCAGAACAGUUCAGAGGCCCUAAAUAUACGAGUUAGUGACUUCUUUCAAAAUCGUUUGUCAUCGUUUCGUUUCAAAAAUCGUCGGCACAUUA